Molecule: non-coding RNA, 2572 nt
Organism: Zootermopsis nevadensis
Lineage: Eukaryota; Metazoa; Arthropoda; Insecta; Blattodea; Termopsidae
Source: RefSeq, a predicted model, not a curated record
UAACUUUGCCUUAUUCCAACGGAGUAUCUGCCAUUGGGUAACGACGUACUUGGAGCGAUUCCGUCUGGAACAGUUCUGAAUUCCCACAUUGUGGCUGAAACUGAUGGUUCAAUGAUUUUUCUGUGAACCUGGAAGGAAGAUUAACUUCCUUCCAGUGAAGUGACAGGAAAUACAUAAAUUUCACCUUUUACCACUAGUGAAAAUGCUACUCACAGGGAAACUCCUAAAAUGUUGCCACAUUAAAGAAUUUUCUUCUUUAAAAAACUACAAUGUUCUGACACAGAAGAAAGUUACUGCAUUUGCUUUAAGUAGCCUAUUUUCUUCUUGUUGAUUCUAGUUCGAGAACUUUCUUCUUUGCUUGUUAAUUUUCUUGUCAUUCUCGUUUCUUCCACUUCUGCAGACUCGGAACAGGACAAAAUUUCUAAAGAAGGGAACGAGAUGAAGCAGAAUAUCCUUUCUCAUCUAAACGUCCAGAACAUUGUGACGCUAAUGUUGAUGAUUUUGAGCCAUGUUCAAUGCUGCAUUCAACACCGGGAAGAACUCAAAUGCGAGGCCGAUCGAUUUGUGCAGUGCUGACGGAUGGCAUUGUAUUAUGUGGAUUGCUGCUGGAUGAUGUUUCACAUUCAGCAAGUCCGUCCCCAAUGUGAGCAUUAUCUGGGAUUUCAGCCAUAUUCAAAAGCCAGAUACCGGAUGCUCGAAAGCCAAUGACUGCGUUUCCAGCAGUGGCUACCUUCAUCCAGGCCUAGCAAACAAUUGGGCAUAAUGAUAGCUUUGUGAACGAACUGACGUGUCUUCUCACAAUCCCUGCUACGUCUUCAUAAAAGUGAAUCUUCAGAGGCUUUAGGAAAGACCUGUCUCUUCGCUGCAACCAAUGAGUUGUGUGUAAGGCAAACAUAAAAUAAAGACAGUCUACGGGCAACAGAGUGCUAAAGCAUUUCAUUGCCUUUGCGGUGCAAAGAGUGUCCAUCUGCUGCAAAUACAGCAGGGUGUUUAGAACGUAGUUUGAAGUACGUGAUGUGCUGUUUAAGAAGCCAAAGAAAAAAUCUCAAGAGUCAAUAUAACUACUGUUCCUUGUGCUUCCAGGCGGAAUAUUCUAUUUUACUGUCAUGUUGUGGAUCUGUUCGAUUUGAAUUUGAAGAUGGCAGUCUUCUGGGUUGUUGCGCCAUGUAGUCUGGUAGAAGUUUACCGACGUUUCAGAGGUCCUUGCUGCCUCCAUCAUCAGGGUGAUCGUAAUUAUCAUUAUUAUUAUUUAUUACAUGUUGGCAUGACACUCCUGGUGAGAUGAUUGUAGAUUACUUGUAACUAACCAAGAUUAUUUAUUCGUAAUCAUAAUUUUUAUGAAAUACUUUUCGCCGUAUCAUUGGUUGACUUAGCCCUUGAUAGAUUGUUAAUUUGACGCUGUUAGUGACACAAGACAAGAGAACAGUGAAUGGAAUGAGGACUCUAUAACUUUUAUGAAGUAUAAAAACACGAUGUAAACAGUUAUUUUUAUCAUAAAGUAGUACUAGUGUGUAAGUACCAUGCAUUUUUAAUCAUGGUUCUAGAUGCAGCUUUUGUGCAGGCUUCAAGCUGCAACGUCUGCUGUAUUUUUCGUAAAAAUACCUGUAAGGGCCCUGGAUUUAGUGAGGAAGCAAUGCCGAAGAGAAAAAUUCCCUGCCUUUUCUAAUGACUUUACCCCGCAUCGUCCGGCCUGCAGCCGGUCUGUUUACUGAUUGCUAUAUAUCUUUAUACAGAGUGAUUCAAAAGGUUAGGGCCAAACUGAAGGAGCGUAUAGAGGGACUCAGAGAGAACAACUUUCGAAUAUAUAUCAAUCCUUCCAUAUCUAUUGAAAGUAGUGAAGAACAGUUUACCUCAGGCUGAAACAUGUCUGAUUUAUAUUUUUGUGCUACCAAGUUUGAAUCUCGACCUACAGAACGCUAAUUCUAAUUAAUUUUAAUGUAACUAAAUCUAUGUAACACAGCUCUUAAGAAACUAGUCAAGAAAUCCCCCGCCUUCUGUGGAUCCAAAGAUUCACUCCUGUGUUCGCAAGGGCUGCAUCCACUCCUUAUUCCGGUCCAGCGCAUCCAUUCCAUAUUCCUUAUAAUUUAGGCAAAUACUUUUAAAUCGACAACGAUCAUGUUCACAUCAGCUCUCUCCCGUUCACUACACGUAAUCAACUGCUAACAUUCCACUCUAAGUAAUAUCUGUCGUUGGUGUAGCGUUGUAUAAUAGCCCACGCACUAUCCACGGAACUUGGCAGCAGUAUCUCCACACAGGAUUUCAUGGAAUUCACUUUGUGCACGUGGUCUGAGCCGAUGUUUAACCAAAGCAUAUUUAUCAGCCAAGUGUAGCAUGUUACGCCACUGACCAGGUUGGUCGUGAUAAGGCCUAUCCGCUCCCUGAAUCAGGCGAAUAGCAAACCAAUGCUUUGAACUAGAGACCUUCGAAGCUCGAGUAUGUGCGUGAUACAUUACACAUACUGAUAGUCAUGUACUGUAAUUAACUGGUAAAACAUAUAAUGCCUGUAAGAAUCGAAGAAUGUCGUAGUGGGAGUAGGUAAGGCCUAGAUUAAAUAAAAUGUUAAUCUUCCCUC